Long non-coding RNA from Jatropha curcas, 1199 nucleotides. RefSeq lists it as uncharacterized. The record is from RefSeq and is a predicted model, not a curated record. Lineage: Eukaryota; Viridiplantae; Streptophyta; Magnoliopsida; Malpighiales; Euphorbiaceae.
UUGACCAAACCAAUCAUAUUUGUUAAAAUGGUUUUCUUGGGAGCAGAAGUGAAACCGGGAGAGACAUUUAUGUAUGCUCCUGAUAAGAAACGAAGAAGACUCAAUAUUUCGCAGGCAACAUUACUAGGGAAUUCGCAGGUAACGUCAAGUAAUGAUCGUGCAGCGUCAGAUAGAGUGGUGGUUCGAUGUGAGAUUCGACGAAACGCCAUUUUAUGUUUUCUUUUCAGUUGUUGGUAACCGAAGCGUUCACCUCAUUGGUUACUAUCUAUCGUCGACGUCGACGUCGAGUCAAGACAAAAUUCCCGUUUCUUCCCCCGAUAAAUCUCCUGCAGAACAAAUGGUGAAGUUUGAUGGCACAGAAUGCUAUGGGUCUUUGCAAGAUGAGCAAAAGUUCUGAACUUUUCAGAUGGUAGUUUCUGCAGAUCCUUAUACGUAUUUGAAGUUAGAAGUUUUAGCCCAUGCAUGUCCCUUAAUCGUGACGUACAAGAUAAUUGGAUAAUAAAAUAGUAUGGAAAUUAUAGAAGAGUCCAGCGAUUGUUUCUAUAAGAUUUAAAUAAAUGUCUGUAGAUGCAAAGUACUGUGUUUUAAGCUUUCUUGGUGUUUGUUUGGUGGGAAUCUAUUCCUAUCCCUACUGGAGAAGAUAGACUCUUAUGCUAAGUGUCUUUGUUGGUUUUUUUUGUUAUGUUUAAGUAAGUUCCACGUCUUUUGUUAACUUAGUCUGUUUUGUGUUUUGGUUUUCUAACUUGUAUGUUUGUAUGAUAAGAAAAUAAGGGAAAAACUGAGAAAAUAAGAAAUUGACAGAGAAAAAGAGAAUUGUCAAGAAGAAGAAAAGAGACAACAAGGGAAAGAAGAUGAGAAUUUUAUUUCAUCAUUAUCAGAAUGAAUAGACAACUUUAUGCAUUAGUUUUAUACUGCUCUCUCUCUCUCUACACACAUACAGUAGAGAGGGAAAAGAAGAAAAAAAUGGUGGCUGAAGCAAUAGCAGAGAAUGAUGGUGAUAUCUCUUUGAAAAGUAAUGGAGGAGGUUGUUAUUUAAAGAGAGUGAAAGAAAUGGGGGAAUGUAUAAUAUGCAAAGAGAAAGAUAAGCUUCUUUCAAUGGAGGCUCCUUCUGCUUGCAAUGGCACUCCAAAGGUUUUCAUUUUUCUGGGUAUUUCAACUUUGUUAGAAUUUGUAUGGGUUUAGAAUGAUUCCUUAUGCCA